RNAcentral lists this ribosomal RNA (430 nucleotides) under uncultured bacterium. RNAcentral's name for it is "partial 16S ribosomal RNA". It matches the Rfam family "Bacterial small subunit ribosomal RNA", at positions 355 to 778 of the family's 1533-position model. The record is from RNAcentral.
UAGGGAAUCUUCCACAAUGGACGCAAGUCUGAUGGAGCAACGCCGCGUGAGUGAAGAAGGUUUUCGGAUCGUAAAGCUCUGUUGUUGGUGAAGAAGGAUAGAGGUAGUAACUGGCCUUUAUUUGACGGUAAUCAACCAGAAAGUCACGGCUAACUACGUGCCAGCAGCCGCGGUAAUACGUAGGUGGCAAGCGUUGUCCGGAUUUAUUGGGCGUAAAGCGAGCGCAGGCGGAAGAAUAAGUCUGAUGUGAAAGCCCUCGGCUUAACCGAGGAAUUGCAUCGGAAACUGUUUUCUUGAGUGCAGAAGAGGAGAGUGGAACUCCAUGUGUAGCGGUGGAAUGCGUAGAUAUAUGGAAGAACACCAGUGGCGAAGGCGGCUCUCUGGUCUGCAACUGACGCUGAGGCUCGAAAAGCAUGGUAGCGAACAGAUU